Molecule: ribosomal RNA, 492 nt
Filed under: uncultured bacterium
Lineage: Bacteria
Description: partial 16S ribosomal RNA
Rfam family: Bacterial small subunit ribosomal RNA
Source: RNAcentral
AGUGAACGCUGGCGGUAGGCCUAACACAUGCAAGUCGAACGGCAGCACAGUAAGAUCUUGCUCUUACGGGUGGCGAGUGGCGGACGGGUGAGGAAUACAUCGGAAUCUACUUUUUCGUGGGGGAUAACGUAGGGAAACUUACGCUAAUACCGCAUACGACCUACGGGUUAAAGCAGGGGAUCUUCGGACCUUGCGCGAUUGAAUGAGCCGAUGUCGGAUUAGCUAGUUGGCGGGGUAAAGGCCCACCAAGGCGACGAUCCGUAGCUGGUCUGAGAGGAUGAUCAGCCACACUGGAACUGAGACACGGUCCAGACUCCUACGGGAGGCAGCAGUGGGGAAUAUUGGACAAUGGGCGAAAGCCUGAUCCAGCAAUACCGCGUGGGUGAAGAAGGCCUUCGGGUUGUAAAGCCCUUUUGUUGGGAAAGAAAAGCAGCAGGUUAAUACCCCGCUGUUCUGACGGUACCCAAAGAAUAAGCACCGGCUAACUUCGUG